This 198-nucleotide unclassified non-coding RNA is filed under the name uncultured Lactarius. RNAcentral's name for it is "sequence contains ITS2". The record is from RNAcentral. Lineage: Eukaryota; Fungi; Basidiomycota; Agaricomycetes; Russulales; Russulaceae.
AAUCAUCAACCUCCCCUAAUUUCUUUUGGUGGGAAGGCUUGGACUUUGGAGGCUUUUGCUGGUCUCUCUCUUUUUGAAGCCAGCUCCUCUUAAACGAAUUAGUGGGGUCCCUCUUCGCCGGUCCCUCGACGUGAUAAGACUUCUCUAACGUCCGAGGUUUGGCUUUGUAGGCCCGCUUCUAAUCAUACCUUUUGAACC